CUGGCGGCGUGCUUAACACAUGCAAGUUGCGCGGUGAUCUCAAGAAGUUUCGACGGAAAGGGAGAGCAGCAGCGGACGGGUGAGUAAAGCACAAGGACUUGUCCCGAAGAGGGGGACAACUGUGGGAAACCACAGCUAAUACCCCAUAAGCCGAGAGGUGAAAGCAGUAAUGCGCUUUAGGAGAGACUUGUGUCCUAUCAGGUAGUUGGUGAGGUAACGGCUCACCAAGCCGAAGACGGGUAGCCGGACUGAGAGGUUGUACGGCCACAUUGGAACUGAGAGACGGUCCAGACUCCUACGGGAGGCAGCAGUGGGGAAUAUUGGGCAAUGGGGGCAACCCUUGACCCAGCGACGCCGCGUGAGGGAAGACAGCCUUCGGGUUGUAAACCUCUGUUGCAGGGGAAGAAGAAAGUGACGGUACCCUGCGAGGAAGCUCCGGCAAACUACGUGCCAGCCGCCGC
This 461-nucleotide ribosomal RNA is filed under the name uncultured bacterium. Its description in RNAcentral is "bacterial SSU rRNA". It matches the Rfam family "Bacterial small subunit ribosomal RNA", at positions 36 to 518 of the family's 1533-position model. The record is from RNAcentral.